CUCAGGUUAGAAUGAAAAUUAGUAGAUCACUUAAAUGGAAUAGGGGUGCUAGCAUUCGCACCUGGAAACUAGCUAGAGACAUGUUGCUGUUCUGGAAACGAAUAGAUAAGGAGAUGGCCGAAGUGAGAAAAAGAGAGGAGAAAGAAGCGGUUGAAGCUUUGAGACGUGAACAGGAGCUUCAAGAAGCUAAGAGACAGCAACAAAGGCUUACCUUUCUGAUACAACAAACUGAGCUCUACAGUCACUUUAUGAAGAAUAAGUCAGAUUUACUAUCUCCGGAAGUUGCAGGAGCGAGUUUUGACAAUGCUUUUGACAAUGAAUGUUUGAGGUUGCGACAGGUGGGUGAAGCUGAUUCACUUACGCAUGAAGUUGCAGGAGCGAGUAAUAUUGAUUUGCAAACCCCAUAAAUUAGAAGUUGAUUUGUGCAUUGUUGGAAAGUCAAUUAUGGCCAUCUAGAGUCACGUUCGACUGGAGGGAACUAGCUUUAUUAGGGAGCAAAUUAGUAUAUAUAUAUAUAUAUAUAUAUAUAUAUAUAUAUAUAUAUAUAUAUAUAUAUAUUUUUGUAUUGUAUUUUGUGUUUUGAGAAUUUGAUUGUAAACUUUGCUUCUAGAGCACUUAUAAAAUUAGUGAUGUUUUAUUUGUAUUUUGAUAAUAAAUAUAUGCAAUACUAAUUCA
Vicia villosa (hairy vetch) is the source of this 675-nucleotide long non-coding RNA. RefSeq lists it as uncharacterized. Lineage: Eukaryota; Viridiplantae; Streptophyta; Magnoliopsida; Fabales; Fabaceae. The record is from RefSeq and is a predicted model, not a curated record. The transcript has 3 exons.